CCAUAGCCCAAAUUCAGCACCUUACCACUGGAUAUGCCAAAAGAAAUGCCCAAAGGAACAUGGGACAAGUCUCUUCCAUGUGCUAGAUCUGGCUCUUCAGGAUCCCCAGGACUGGGGAAGUGAGCAGAAGGAAUUGUUGAGAUAGUGAUCUUCACAAUGUAUUAUGUAUUCCCUUCCCAGCUGGAGACAACAGGUCCCCUCCUCCAAAAACUACAGGCUCCUAUGUGGACACAGAGAUACCACACAGAGCACUCUGAUGAAAGAUGGGCUGCCCAGUCUCCCAGAUCAGCCUUCCUACAGAAGCCCAGCAGCAGUCGUGGCGCUCGUGUAUUAUUCAAGGGAGAACUCAUCCAUUCUCCCUCUACUCACCGGCUUGGCUAAGGCACGGAGACUCAGCUUCUGCCCAUCUGGAGAAAUGGCGGUACCUUGGAACUGGAUGAAGUCGUAGAGCCUACUGCAGCCUCUCUGGAGCAGCUUCCCGGGGCUAUUUCUACUGUUUAAGGCAAUUAUAGGCUGGCCCAAGUGCCCAAUAAACC
Molecule: long non-coding RNA, 536 nt
Filed under: Rattus norvegicus (Norway rat)
Lineage: Eukaryota; Metazoa; Chordata; Mammalia; Rodentia; Muridae
Description: long non-coding RNA NONRATT032855
Source: RNAcentral